UUGGGCGUAAGGGCUCGUAGGCGGUUUCUUAAGUCUGAUGUGAAAGCCCACAGCUCAACUGUGGAGGGUCAUUGGAAACUGGGGAACUUGAGUGCAGAAGAGGAGAGUGGAAUUCCACGUGUAGCGGUGAAAUGCGUAGAUAUGUGGAGGAACACCAGUGGCGAAGGCGACUCUCUGGUCUGUAACUGACGCUGAGGAGCGAAAGCGUGGGGAGCAAACAGGAUUAGAUACCCUGGUAGUCCACGCCGUAAACGAUGAGUGCUAGGUGUUAGGGGGUUUCCGCCCCUUAGUGCUGAAGUUAACGCAUUAAGCACUCCGCCUG
RNAcentral lists this ribosomal RNA (322 nucleotides) under Bacillus sp. (in: firmicutes). Its description in RNAcentral is "bacterial SSU rRNA". It matches the Rfam family "Bacterial small subunit ribosomal RNA", at positions 554 to 875 of the family's 1533-position model. Lineage: Bacteria; Bacillati; Bacillota; Bacilli; Caryophanales; Bacillaceae. The record is from RNAcentral.